Molecule: long non-coding RNA, 1708 nt
Organism: Venturia canescens
Lineage: Eukaryota; Metazoa; Arthropoda; Insecta; Hymenoptera; Ichneumonidae
Exons: 2
Source: RefSeq, a predicted model, not a curated record
UCAACUAUCGAAAAUUUCAAAUGAUCAUUCCCAGAUCCAAAGAUCGUCCGAUGCUAAUAAGUCAGUCAAAACGCGGUAUAUUAUUUCGUUCGUCGUUUCAAUCUAUUAAUUUUGAUAGAAAUUGCACUAAAAUUACAAAUAUAUAGUCAGCCAUUUUUUCCGAAAAAAAAAACAAAGUGUUCCGUAAAAGAACGAUUAUACAUUAUACUUAUUAAUGGAAUUCAGUUUCAAAACAAUUACAAUGAAGAACAAUUAAUUCAAUACUCAAAAUGGAAUAAAUCGUCGAAUAUCAGCUAGGAUUGGAAUCGACUCAGCUUUCCUCGCUCAACAAAAUUUAAAACUGUGGGGUACAAUGUUGACUUAUACACUUCGGUUUCUAACAGGACAACUUCUAUUAAUGAUUGGCCUUAGUGGUUUCCAAAUGUCUCCGACUGAAACAAUAUGAGAAUUGUCAGAUUCUGAUCGUUCAAUCACACAGUUCUUUGGUUCGCGUGAUAUCUCCAUAUCACCAAGACUCCGCCUUAUAUCCCACCUGUCGAGAGCUGAUGUCUUGGAAAAUUCUUUUUUUUGUUAAAGACCCGAUCAAAGAAAUUGUUGGUUCUGGAUUUUUUCAGAUUGGUGGUUGCUCCACUGCUUAUUAACCUUCCUUUGGAGAUUCUCCAGAGGGUCUUUUCUUUUUCCUUUGAUUUUGACGGUUUAUUAUUGAGUUUGGCAUACACAGUUGCUAUAACUGUUCUUGGAUCUCGAAAGCUUUGUUUUCUACUCAGUAUUUCUUCACGCAAGGUAAAUGUGAAUCCUUCAUUUCACUUGGGUAAAGAUUCAGUUUUAUACAUUGCUGCAAAAUCUUCCCACUGAGACCACAGAAUUAUCUGUAAAUUCAACAAUUUAUAUGUACUCAUUCUAUUGCUGUUGAAAACAAUACAUUCCGCAAUACCAUUUAUAAACUUUUUAUUAGGUUUUCUGAAUAAAUUAUAAGCAGUGCAGGCGAAUUGUGGUGACAUGAGCUCUGUAAGAAGUUUUUCAUAUUAUGCUUAGGAAUAUGUAACAUUCGAAGAUCAGGUUCUUCUAUUUUAGUGGUAUUCGAUGAAAUGUUAUUCGCUAUCUAGCUUUAACCAAAUUGAUUCUUGAUCAACAUGUUGAAUUACGUUCAAAAUGCUUACCCUGACGGCGUAGCCAUUGACUUUUGUAGAUCCAAUGGUUUCUGGCAAAUAUCGAGCACCAAGAAUCAUUACACAUUGGCAGAACAAUAAACCAUCCUCAUCCCGAUAGUUCCGGUUUGAAAUUCUGUAUCGAAUCAUCGCCAGAGAUAGGAAUAUUUCCAUGGUUAUUGUUGAAAAAUUUUCCAUCUUGGCAAUGACCAUUUUUAUUGAUGUAACAAAUGCACGAAAUCGAAACAACAACAGAAAGCUACCUCCAGGUGUUUAUCAACAUUUCUUCUUCGCUUGAUAAAACUCAUCAUACUGCUUCAAUGUUCUCUAGCUGGAGUAUGACUUAUUUAUAUCUAAAAUUAUCUAUAAAUUGUCAGUUCAUAUUACUAUGAAACAAUGAGAACAAAACUUUACCUAAACGAGAAUACAAACUGACAUAUAAACAAAGUAUGAAUCACAGAAUACGAUAUUCCCAAAUUAUCGGUCAUUGUAACUCCGAUUUUUACUUCAUUGCGUUAAAAUAAAGCCUGACAAUGUUUGAAUAAAUGUACUUUCAAUUA